UGGGGAAUAUUGCACAAUGGGCGCAAGCCUGACGCAGCAAUGCCGCGUGAACGAUGAAGGUCUUCGGAUCGUAAAGCUCUGUUGCAGGGGAAGAUAAUGACGGUACUCUCUGAGGAAUCCCCGGCUAACUACGUGCCAGCAGCCGCGGUAAUACGUAGGGGGCUAGCGUUAUCCGCAUUUACUGGGCGUAAUGGGUGCGUAGGUGGUCUUUCAAGUCGGUGGUUAAAGGCUACGGCUCAACCGUAGUUAGCCUUCGAAACUGGAAGACUUGAGUGCAGGAGAGGAAAGUGGAAUUCCCAGUGUAGCGGUGAAAUGCGUAGAUAUUGGAAGGAACACCAGUAGCGAAGGCGGCUUUCUGGGCUGCAACUGACACUGAGACACGAAAGCGUGGGUAGCAAACAGG
This 403-nucleotide ribosomal RNA is filed under the name Verrucomicrobiota bacterium. Its description in RNAcentral is "Verrucomicrobia bacterium partial 16S ribosomal RNA". It matches the Rfam family "Bacterial small subunit ribosomal RNA", at positions 355 to 776 of the family's 1533-position model. The record is from RNAcentral. Lineage: Bacteria; Pseudomonadati; Verrucomicrobiota.